UAGGGAAUUUUCGGCAAUGGACGAAAGUCUGACCGAGCAACGCCGCGUGAGUGAAGAAGGAUUUCGGAUCGUAAAACUCUGUUGGUAGAGAAGAACGUUGGUGAGAGUGGAAAGCUCAUCAAGUGACGGUAACUACCCAGAAAGGGACGGCUAACUACGUGCCAGCAGCCGCGGUAAUACGUAGGUCUCGAGCGUUGUCCGGAUUUAUUGGGCGUAAAGCGAGCGCAGGUGGUUUAUUAAGUCUGGUGUAAAAGGCAGUGGCUCAACCAUUGUAUGCAUUCAAAACUGAUAGACUUGAAUCCAGGUGAGGAGAGUGGAAUUCCAUGUGUAGCGGUGAAAUGCGUAGAUAUAUGGAGGAACACCGGUGGCGAAAGCGGCUCUCUGGCCUGUAACUGACACUGAGGCUCGAAAGCGUGGGGAGCAAACAGG
This 429-nucleotide ribosomal RNA is filed under the name Bacillota bacterium. RNAcentral describes it as "Firmicutes bacterium partial 16S ribosomal RNA". It matches the Rfam family "Bacterial small subunit ribosomal RNA", at positions 355 to 776 of the family's 1533-position model. The record is from RNAcentral. Lineage: Bacteria; Bacillati; Bacillota.